Molecule: transfer RNA, 73 nt
Filed under: Stegodyphus mimosarum
Lineage: Eukaryota; Metazoa; Arthropoda; Arachnida; Araneae; Eresidae
Rfam family: tRNA
About the family: Transfer RNA (tRNA) molecules are approximately 80 nucleotides in length. Their secondary structure includes four short double-helical elements and three loops (D, anti-codon, and T loops).
Source: Rfam by way of RNAcentral
GCUUUCGUGGUGUAGUGGUAAGCACGCUCGACGCGUAACCGAGAGGUCCGUGGUUCCAUUCCCGGUUAAGGCG